GAAAGAAGGAGGUCAGAAUCAGGAGACAGACCUACAGAGGAAUGAUCAGAGAGCCGCAACACCGAUGAUGGAGACCUGAAUAUUUGCCUUACUGACAAUGAAAAAGUCUGGCUUCACACCAAACCCUGGAGAAUAGAGAUCUUACGUUCUGAGAUGGAAGAAAUCAGAGUGAGUAGAAGCAGCGAAGAUACUUCCCUUUUGGCCUUGAAGAAGUAAACUGCCAUGUUUGGAGAGGACCACCUGACAGGCAACAACAGGAGCUGAGGGUCUCAGUCCUAUAAUCACAAGAAACUGAGUUCUCCCCAACACCUACUGUGCUCAAAAAAAGACCUUGGUCGUCAGGUCACAACCUGAACCUAUACCUCGGUAACUGAU
Manis javanica (Malayan pangolin) is the source of this 375-nucleotide non-coding RNA. The record is from RefSeq and is a predicted model, not a curated record. Lineage: Eukaryota; Metazoa; Chordata; Mammalia; Pholidota; Manidae.